UAAUACAGAGGGUGCAAGCGUUGCUCGGAUUUACUGGGCGUAAAGCGUACGCAGACGGCGAGGCAGGUCGGGUGUGAAAGCCCCGGGCUCAACCCGGGAAAUGCACUCGAAACCAUCUUGCUCGAGUAUGGGAGAGGGAAGCGGAAUUCCUGGUGUAGAGGUGAAAUUCGUAGAUAUCAGGAGGAACACCGGCGGCGAAGGCGGCUUCCUGGCCCAUUACUGACGUUCAGGUACGAAAGCGUGGGUAGCAAACAGGAUUAGAUACCCUGGUAGUCCACGCGGUAAACGAUGAGUGCUGGAUGUCGGGGGUAUUCACCCCCUCGGUAUCGUAGCCAACGCGUUAAGCACUCCGCCUGGGGAGUACGGCCGCAAGGUUG
RNAcentral lists this ribosomal RNA (377 nucleotides) under uncultured bacterium. RNAcentral's name for it is "bacterial SSU rRNA". It matches the Rfam family "Bacterial small subunit ribosomal RNA", at positions 521 to 896 of the family's 1533-position model. The record is from RNAcentral.